This 406-nucleotide small RNA is filed under the name Pan troglodytes (chimpanzee). RNAcentral's name for it is "retained intron". The record is from RNAcentral. Lineage: Eukaryota; Metazoa; Chordata; Mammalia; Primates; Hominidae.
GACACCAGAGAAACAAGGCGAAAUUUCUUACUGAUAAGCUCCAAGCUUUAAGAAAUGCUGUUCAGACUGGCCUUGAUCCAGAAAAACCUCAUCAGUCUCUCGAUACCAUCCAAAAAACCAUCAAUGAGUAUAAAUCUGAAAUUCGACAAACAAGAAAAUUCCGUGAUGCUGAACAAGAAAAAGAUAGAACAUUGCUUAAGACCAUCAUAAAAGUUUGGAAAGAGAUGAAAUCCCUUCGAGAGUUCCAGAGAUUUACAAAUACUCCCUUGAAACUUGUUUUGAGAAAGUAGGCUUUUUUGAAAAAUUAUUUUAUUGGGCUAUAUCAUACAUUAAGAAAAAUGUAUAAAACAUGGAUACAGUUUUAAAAGUAAUUACAAACAAAUAUGCAUGUAACCACUUCCCAGGU